RNAcentral lists this transfer RNA (90 nucleotides) under Salmo salar (Atlantic salmon). It matches the Rfam family "tRNA", at positions 8 to 63 of the family's 71-position model. From Rfam's summary of the family: Transfer RNA (tRNA) molecules are approximately 80 nucleotides in length. Lineage: Eukaryota; Metazoa; Chordata; Actinopteri; Salmoniformes; Salmonidae. The record is from Rfam by way of RNAcentral.
UGGCUCAGUUGGUAGAGCAUGGUGUUUGCAUGGUUGUUUGCAACGCUAGCAUUGUGUGUGCAACGCCAGGGUUGUGGGUUCGAUUCCCAC